CACAUAUGGUUUUUUUUCUGCUCAGAACAUAUAAUUUUUUUCUCUGCUCAGAUGAACGCUGGAGGCAGAGCAUAACACUAUGCAAGUCUAGCGGAUGACGGGAGCUUGCUACCUGAUGUAGCGGCGGACAGGUGAAUAAUGCCUAGGAAUCUGCCUGGUAUAAGCGGAUAAAAUCCGAAAGAAACGCUAAUACUCCUUACGUCGCACGGGAGAAAGCAGAGGACCUUCGGGCCGUGCGCUAUCAGAUGAGCUUAGGUGCGAUAAGCUAGUUGGUGAGGUAAUGGCUCACCAAGCGGACGAUCAGUAACUGCUCUGAGAGGAUGUUCAGUCACACGGGAACUGAGACACGGUCCAGAUUCUUACGGGAGGCACCAUUGGGGAUUAUUGGACAAUGGGGAAAAUCCGAAUCCAGCCAUGCCGCGUGUGUGAAGAAGGUUUUGGGUUUGUAAAGCACUUUAAAUUGGGAGGAAGGGCAUUACCGUAAUACGUUACUCUUUGGACGUUCCCGACAGAAUAAGCACGGGCUAAUUUGGUGCCACCAGCCGCGUUAAUACGAAGGGUCCAAGCUUUUAUGGAAAUUAUUGGGCGUAAAGCGCGGCUAGGUGCUUCAGUAAUUUGGAUGUGAAAUCCCCGGGUUCAACCUGGGAACUGCAUCCAAAACUGGUGAGCUGGAGUUCGGUAGAGGGUGGUGGAAUUUCCUGUGUAGCGGUGAAAUGGGUAGAUAUAGGAAGGACCCCCAGUGGGGAAGGGGAUCUCUUGGAUUGAUACUGACAUGGAGGUGGGAAAGCGUGGGGAGCAACCAGGAUUAGAUACCCUGUUAUUCCACCCGGUAAAGGAUGUCAAUUAGCCGUUAGAAUCUCUGAGAUUCAGUGGCGCAGCUAACGCAUAACUGUCCGCCUGGAGACGUCACUGG
Molecule: ribosomal RNA, 913 nt
Filed under: Pseudomonas sp.
Lineage: Bacteria; Pseudomonadati; Pseudomonadota; Gammaproteobacteria; Pseudomonadales; Pseudomonadaceae
Description: bacterial SSU rRNA
Rfam family: Bacterial small subunit ribosomal RNA
Source: RNAcentral